This 407-nucleotide ribosomal RNA is filed under the name Verrucomicrobiota bacterium. Its description in RNAcentral is "Verrucomicrobia bacterium partial 16S ribosomal RNA". It matches the Rfam family "Bacterial small subunit ribosomal RNA", at positions 355 to 776 of the family's 1533-position model. Lineage: Bacteria; Pseudomonadati; Verrucomicrobiota. The record is from RNAcentral.
UGGGGAAUAUUGGACAAUGGAGGAAACUCUGAUCCAGCAAUUCUGUGUGUGUGAAGAAGGUUUUAGGACUGUAAAACACUUUUAGUAGGGAAGAAAAAAAUGACGGUACCUACAGAAGAAGCAACGGCUAAAUACGUGCCAGCAGCCGCGGUAAUACGUAUGUUGCGAGCGUUAUCCGGAAUUAUUGGGCUUAAAGGGCAUCUAGGCGGUAAGACAAGUUGAAGGUGAAAACCUGUAGCUCAACCAUAGGCUUGCCUACAAAACUGUUGAACUAGAGUACUGGAAAGGUGGGUGGAACUACACGAGUAGAGGUGAAAUUCGUAGAUAUGUGUAGGAAUGCCGAUGAUGAAGAUAACUCACUGGACAGAAACUGACGCUGAAGUGCGAAAGCUAGGGGAGCAAACAGG